RNAcentral lists this transfer RNA (70 nucleotides) under Heterocephalus glaber (naked mole-rat). It matches the Rfam family "tRNA". Rfam says of the family: Transfer RNA (tRNA) molecules are approximately 80 nucleotides in length. Their secondary structure includes four short double-helical elements and three loops (D, anti-codon, and T loops). Further hydrogen bonds mediate the characteristic L-shaped molecular structure. tRNAs have two regions of fundamental functional importance: the anti-codon, which is responsible for specific mRNA codon recognition, and the 3' end, to which the tRNAs corresponding amino acid is attached (by aminoacyl-tRNA synthetases). tRNAs cope with the degeneracy of the genetic code in two manners: having more than one tRNA (with a specific anti-codon) for a particular amino acid; and 'wobble' base-pairing, i.e. permitting non-standard base-pairing at the 3rd anti-codon position. The record is from Rfam by way of RNAcentral. Lineage: Eukaryota; Metazoa; Chordata; Mammalia; Rodentia; Bathyergidae.
GGGAGUGUAGCUUAGAGGUAGAGCACUUGCCUUGUGUGUAAGGCCCUGGGUUUGAUUCCCAGCACAGCAA